UCCGCCAGGCUCGAUAAGAACCCCUCCUCUCUGUCUCCCCCUCUUCUGUCAGUGCUAGGGUGUAGCUACUGAUCCUAUACUACAGCAGAGAGAGGGACAUCAGGUGUCACAGCUCUGCAACCCCGGCUGAGGCUGCAUUACCACGGCAACCGGCUCCAGGGGUGCUGCCAGCUCUCUGCCUCGCCAGCCCAGCACCCAGCCGGCCACCCAGCCAGCCAUCCAGCCAUCCAGCCAUCCAUCCGCCCAGCCAACCAGCCCGCCAGGCCGGCCCUACCCUGCCCAGAACUGUCAACCUGCAGGAGUCAUCAGGAGAGCAGCGACUCCUCCCAAGUCCUCACUUCAUUUUUUCCCCCACGUCAGUUCUCUUAUGACACGAGUCCAAUAUAAUAUCCCAGCAGCUUUCUGAGACGACGUGAGAAAAAGACAGAGGAUGUUUGUGAGGACCGUCUCAAAAAGAUUUAGAUAGAUUCAGAUUUCCUGAGUUGUCACAGAUGUAGCGAAGAUUAGGAGGGAGAGGAAGAGGGAGAGCUGACUCCGAGCCCCCCGGGGAGGACGCAAUGAGGUGGAACCACUUCUCUGGUUUCCAGUGGAGAUGCACAGAUCCACCAUCAGAGCGCCAUCUGCUGGAUCGGUGGGGCGGGACAGCUGGUGUUGUGAAUCAGGCCGCCGCAAUCCAGGGACCGGCUACUUCCCAACACCAGGGUCUCACUCUCACCCCUCACGUCUUCACUGGCGUUCACCUCUCCUGAAUCCUGAAGGAUACAGCCCGCAUAUAUUUUAGAUUAGCACUCUCUUAUGGCUGAUGUAACAGUGAUUGAUUACUUAUAACACUCGUACUUAUCUGUCCAAAUCUGUGCAAAGUUGUCCUCUCAAUUUAUGAUCAGAAAAAGCACAGAAAACACCCUAAAUAAAAUGCCACACCCCAUAAAACAAACAUAACAAACGAUGUUGUCAUUUAUGAUUAAAACAGUCUUUUUCCAAAUUAAAUAAAUGAAAUAUACAUUUCAUAAAUGUGUCUGUGGCUUAAUCCGUUUAUUGGCUGGGAAUGAAAGCACAUGGAAGUUACUGUUCACCUUUGUUUGAAAAUGUUGUCAUGUUUCAUUUGUUGUGUUUGGUGCAAAAUGACUGCAUAUAUUUUAUUAUUAAAGAUGGGUUUGAAUCACUCCUUCCCAAUAAUAAAUGCUGACUAAUGUAAUCCAGUGACAGUGGCAUCCCACAGGGCUCCGUUGGUGGACCAUUUUAUUUGAUAUUGUGGGUCCCCAUUAUCGGCAUGGUGAAAUUAUUCAAAUUGUUCCGAAAAUGCAUAAUAGUAAAAGAUUUGGCUUUAAUUUACAGUUAAUUACAGGCUACUAGUUGCACCACUUUAACAGUAAGUUGCUAUAUUAUUUCUUACAGUAAAUUAUAGUGGAAUGUCAGUUGAUCUAACCGUAGUUAUGCCUGAAUAUUACUGUGAUUUAGCAGUACGUUCCUGUAAGUUACUGUAUUUAACUGUAACUUCACAGUUUAUGUACACUGGAUUAUUGUGAUUUGGCAGAAAUACAGCAUUUCACUGUAAAUUCAUAGUUAAACUCCAUAUAUUACUGUGAUUUAACAGUAUAAAAUUACUUGCAUACAUUUCACAGUAAAAUUCUGAGUGUGAUGAAAUAUCACAGUAAAAGCCUGUGAGGUGAUAAUAAUGCAAUUUAUUGUGAAAUAUUACAGCUACAUAUUGUAAUUUUCUUGAAAUGAUUUGCAGUGCACUGUCAAAUAUUUGGCUGUACAUUUACAGUAAAUUACUAGCUACUAGUUGCAUCACUGUCAUAGUAAAUUGUUGUGAAAUGACAGCUGCGUACUGUGAUCUCAGCAAUGUCCACAUGUUACUGUGAUUCAGCAGGAUGUUCCUUUAAGAUUACUGUAUUUCACUGUACUCUCACAGGUA
Long non-coding RNA from Epinephelus fuscoguttatus (brown-marbled grouper), 1918 nucleotides. RefSeq lists it as uncharacterized. The record is from RefSeq and is a predicted model, not a curated record. Lineage: Eukaryota; Metazoa; Chordata; Actinopteri; Perciformes; Serranidae. The transcript has 5 exons.